CAGCUGCAGCAGUGGGAUGGCCUUGAACCCUGCCCACCUGAAUUUGGCCCUGUCUGAGGGAGGCCCCUCUUGUCCACCUCUUAACCUGGGGUAGGGAGCUUCUCCCGAGUAGCAGUAAUGGGGCUGAUUCCAGCUUCUCCCCAGCAAUACCUCUAUGUGGCUGACCUGGCACGGAAGGACAAGCGUGUUCUGCGGAAAAAGUACCAGAUUUACUUCUGGAACAUUGCCACCAUUGCUGUCUUCUAUGCCCUUCCUGUGGUGCAGCUGGUGAUCACCUACCAGACGGUGGUGAAUGUCACAGGGAAUCAGGACAUCUGCUACUACAACUUCCUCUGCGCCCACCCACUGGGCAAUCUCAGCGCCUUCAACAACAUCCUCAGCAACCUGGGGUACAUCCUGCUGGGGCUGCUUUUCCUGCUCAUCAUCCUGCAACGGGAGAUCAACCACAACCGGGCCCUGCUGCGCAACGACCUCUA
This 476-nucleotide small RNA is filed under the name Pongo abelii (Sumatran orangutan). Its description in RNAcentral is "retained intron". The record is from RNAcentral. Lineage: Eukaryota; Metazoa; Chordata; Mammalia; Primates; Hominidae.